AUCACAUCUUAAGGGCUGAUUGUCCACCAGGAAUUUGACUGACAGACCCCGACCACGGAGAUUGUUUGCUCUGCACCACAGCCUUUCUGCUUCGUGCUAAGCUUUUAGUACCUCAUGUGGCUGGGACCGAGCUUCUACAACAGCUGCUCUGUGAAUGGAGGAAGUGGUGCUCUUGGUGUCUCUACAUCUAUAAGAAAAGCAUACGUAUCCGUCUCCUUUUCAUGUUGCUUCAGGGCUGGAGGCACCUAACAGCAAGUUAUUUUGACCAAAAAAGAAAAAAAAAUAGAGAGCGAGAGAAGAAAAACACAGGUAAAUUACAAACCACCUAGGGGCA
Gallus gallus (chicken) is the source of this 334-nucleotide long non-coding RNA. Lineage: Eukaryota; Metazoa; Chordata; Aves; Galliformes; Phasianidae. The record is from Ensembl.